RNAcentral lists this ribosomal RNA (415 nucleotides) under Boletellus sp. 11 BKS-2015. RNAcentral's name for it is "LSU rRNA". It matches the Rfam family "Bacterial large subunit ribosomal RNA", at positions 1712 to 2107 of the family's 2925-position model. Lineage: Eukaryota; Fungi; Basidiomycota; Agaricomycetes; Boletales; Boletaceae. The record is from RNAcentral.
UCUCGGCAAAUUAUCCUCAUAAGUUCGACAAGAAGAGGAACCAUGAACUUUUGUAAAUUAAAGUCUCCUUUUAAUUUAUGUAUAUGGUGGCACAUAAUCGGAAGCCCCGACUGUUUACUAAAAACACAACUAUCUGCAAUUAUGAAAAUAAUAGUAUAGGUAGUGAGAUUUGCCCAAUGCCAUAUUAAUAAGUAAUAAUAAUAGGUAACUGUUUCUUUACAAAAAAUUGGUUAAUAGCGGUCUUAACUAUGAGGAUCCUAAGGUAGCAAAAUAAAUUGGCCAUUAAAUGUGGUCCAGUAUCAAUAAUUUAACGAUGGCUUCACUGUCUCUACAACUUGCUCAGUGAAAUUGAAUUACCCGUGCAGAUGCGGGUUACCUCAAAGAGGACGGGAAGACCCUAUGCAGCUUCUACUGA